CAAUUCAAGCUCGAUAACCAACAUAGACUGAUGAAUCACACAUUGUUCUUCUCCUGUUGACUUGAGAUCCUAACAAAAGAAAGCAAAAAUAUUAGUCAACCCUACCAUGAUUUUGGGACUAAUUUUUAUCUCAUGUAAAGAACAGAUCACCAUGGAACCCAGGAAGGGUGGUGAUGAUCGCCACAGCCUGAGACCUUUGCCGACAGGACUGCAUCCAGUUUUGGAGAUCAGUGGGGCUUCCAUUGGAUCCACCAGCAGACACAAGUCCUUUUACCUUUCCCAAAAGCCACAGCGAGAUCAGUGGGCCAUCUCGGUCCCUCAGAGAUCGCCAUUUGUUUGUGGUCAAGUACUGCAUUUAGAUAUGAUCUCAACGAGGCUUUCAUUCCAUCACAUUGAUGAACAGUUGAAAGGUUUGUCAAGAUACUCCUACAUGCGCUAAAAGAGCUCACGAAUCCAUUCUGGAGCUCCACAAAGGAACAAGAAAUCACCAGUAUACGGCUGAAUAGUCUCCCCACUAACAACAGUGGCCGGAGACAAAUAAUCGGCACAACCACGGAGACAACAGUAUGGAGAGCCAAAAUUAUCCUACUUGUAUAUACUUUAGAACAACUGCUUCGAUCCUUUGUUCCAAGGAAACAAACAUCCCAGUAGAUGAACGAACCAUUGGUAUCCGUAAGAUCUCUGUCAAACCCUAAUGUGCAGGAAGAGUUGUGGUAUGAUAAGUGGCAAGUCAACUCUAAUUGCUUUCUUCUAUUUAUAUAAGCUUCUGAAUCUUUCCAUGACAAUAACAAAGGUGCCGCUCUCACUUUUCUUCGAGAAAAAGAGAGAGGCUCAAUUUGCUGGUGGAGAUAUAGUGAGUUCUUAUAGUCGCACUAGUGAUUGGCUGAGUUGGAAAGAGAAGUCGCUAAGAGAAAAACAAAAGGAAGGAAAGAGAGAAAGAGAGAGAGAGAGAUGCAUCCUUCAAACUCGAUAAGGAUAACAGUAAUCCGAGAACCACAUAUUGGCUCGGAAGCAGGACAUCAACAUCCCUCGAGAAGCACCCACCUAUCACACACAGCUUGAGUGCACUGCUGGUUCUCAGCUCAACACAAAUUGCUGAAGGGAUUCGAUGAUCUUGUGGAUGCUGAUGUAUGAUUUCUAUCACCCAUAAUUAUUAGAACUCUUCUGAGUCAUCGGUUGACCUGAUAGAAUAUAUGUAAAAAAUAAUAAAAAUAGUAUAUUUGAUGUUAUUAUUCAAAAUUCAAAUAAAAACAAAGAGAAAAAAAAUAAAAGUGAUCACCUAUUAGAAGAAGAAGAAGAAUCAAAGGUGUCGGCGAAGCUCAAUGCUUU
RNAcentral lists this long non-coding RNA (1329 nucleotides) under Musa acuminata (dwarf banana). RNAcentral describes it as "long non-coding RNA (MACU_LNC003652)". The record is from RNAcentral. Lineage: Eukaryota; Viridiplantae; Streptophyta; Magnoliopsida; Zingiberales; Musaceae.